GAUGAAGAACGCAGCGAAAUGCGAUAAGUAAUGUGAAUUGGAGAAUUCAGUGAAUCAUCGAAUCUUUGAACGCACAUUGCGCCCGCCAGUAUUCUGGCGGGCAUGCCUGUCUGAGCGUCAUUUCAACCCUCAUGCCCCUAGGGCGUGGUGUUGGGGAUCGGCCAAAGCCCGCGAGGGACGGCCGGCCCCUAAAUCUAGUGGCGGACCCGUCGUGGCCUCCUCUGCGAAGUAGUGAUAUUCCGCAUCGGAGAGCGACGAGCCCCUGCCGUUAAACCCCCAACUUUCCAAGGUUGACCUCAGAUCAGGUAGGAAUACCCGCUGAACUUAAGCAUAUCAAUAAGCGGAGGA
This 348-nucleotide unclassified non-coding RNA is filed under the name soil metagenome. RNAcentral's name for it is "partial contains 5.8S ribosomal RNA, internal transcribed spacer 2, and large subunit ribosomal RNA". The stretch from base 1 to 120 matches the Rfam family "5.8S ribosomal RNA", at positions 35 to 154 of the family's 154-position model. The record is from RNAcentral.